AAGGAACAACAGAAGGUUUCAACAAUCAAGCAGAGACGCCAAAGAUCGAGCAAAGGAGAUUGCACUUCAAGUGCACUUUACUGGCAUAAAGCUACCUAAAUGGUCACCCAUUUUACAGAACAUUAACAGCUAUCCUUCGUGUGAGUAUCCAAAAUUGUAGCAACUUUCUCUCUGUGAUAGGAUAUUAGCUUAACAACAAUAGUUGUAGAGUUUCAAAUUGAUUGUACUGUUGAGAUCUGUUCUAGAGUCCAAAAGAACAGAUGAUGUAAAUUUGCCAAAUAGUUGAAAUAAAACAAAAAAUUUCUUCUAAAAAAAGUAGUCAACACGAACCCCACAGUCUCACCUAUUUAGUGGUCAAAGAAGACCUUUUAUUAUUACCCCCCUUUUUCCUUUACAUCAUUAUGUAUUAUCCCCCACAAACCCUUGUCCCCUCUUAUUUUAAUUAAAUGUUACGGGCCCACAUUUAAUUAAUUCCCAAAAUACCCCCAAAAUUAUUGAAAAUUAUUAUUCUUUCCCAUCAUCUAUAUCCAAUCUUUCCUAAUCAAUUCAAACAAUUAAUAUCACCAAACAAACUCCUAAUCAACAACAUUCAGGAAUCACUUCAACAAAGUAAGAUUUAUAUCAACAUUUGAAGAUCAUAUUCAUAUUUGAAAAAGAACAAUCUAGUAGAUUUAAAUUACCAAACUCAACAUCAGUUGAACUUCAAAUUAAAAUCAACAGCAUUAUAACCAAGAUGAAAGAUUCAAGUGAUUUAAACUAACACACUUCUAUAUUAAAACUAAACAAGAACAAAUAAAUGAAAAUUGGGUUGGUUAUUGAACCGCCCAUUUAGCGAGAAAUUUAAAACAAACUGAACUAGGAGUGAAUCUUAUCAACACUCUAAAUCAAAACUAUACAAAAAUGUAAGAUUACUGACAGUGAGCUAAAUUCCUAUGGAUUAUCACAUGACACAUCAAAGAGUAUAACCCAUGACAAUCAAAUAAACGAUGAACAAAACUGAAAUACAACUAAGAAAAACAAAUAACAAUAUCAAAAAUAGAACAAAAGAAGAGGAAAAUACCUCAUGAAAUCAGAACAAGGCGAACUCAAGCUUGAACUUAUCCGUUUCCCCUCUGCUAUUUCUCGUCAUUAUUUUGUAUAUUUUUAGGAUUGUUGAUGAUCGGACAAGGUGAAGACGAGGACUGUUGACGAGCAGUUAGUGUUCAACGACGAGCAUGGUGUUAGACGACUCGACUGGGCCGGCGUGACUGCUGAUCGUUUGGUCAUUUGGAUCUAUCUUCAUGGUUGUUUGGAUUGGUCGUUGGUGUGAGUUGACAGAGGAAGAAGAAAACGACGCAGCAGGGGGUGGUCGUUUGGUUGCGUGAAGGAGACAUGAAGGUGGUUCGCUUGAGAUGAAGGUUUUGGAGAUGAUGAAGACGAUCAACGACUGGGUGGUCGACGAUGGGAGGCAGUGUGGGUUCGACUGGUUGGAGAUGAUGACCAGGCAGGGGGUUCGUUUUCGUCGUUUGAUUGGUUAGCGAUAUGGGUGGUCGUUUGGAACAAGGGGUGAAGCAGACUGGUUCGUCGGUGGUCGUGGGUGACGAUGCUGGGCAAUGAAGUGGUCGACUGGACUGCUUCAAACAUUGGUCUGGACGUUUCUGCGUUCUUGUGGAAUUUGGUUGCUCGUGGAGGUUGAUGGGGCAGCAACGUCAUUGCUGGGGUCUUCUGGUCGACGGGCUGUGCGAUGGUGAGAAGCUAGUUGGGUAGUUUUUCGGCGAACUGAGAGUGAUGGGGUGGUGGGGAAGAUGAGGAAGAACGGAGGGGGCAGCAUGGUGGUCAGAAAUGAUGGGUUUCCGACGUGGGGGUGGUUUCUAGCUAAGGUUUUGAGGGUGUGUUUGGAGAAGAUGAAGAGAGGGUGGUGGGUGCUUAGGUGUGACGGCCAGAGAGAGUUUAGGGUGUGUUUAGGGUUAGGUUAUUUGGUUAAAUGAAAAAAGAAUCUGAAAAAUCAAAAGAG
This 1993-nucleotide long non-coding RNA is filed under the name Nicotiana benthamiana. Its description in RNAcentral is "long non-coding RNA (NBEN_LNC003683)". The record is from RNAcentral. Lineage: Eukaryota; Viridiplantae; Streptophyta; Magnoliopsida; Solanales; Solanaceae.